AGUGUUACGUAUGAUUUGUUUCCUAAUUAAUGUCCGAAAUAAUUCACAUGAACAGUUCACGUUAAUCAAUAUCAUUACCUAUGAUCAAUAACACUAUUUAAUCACACGAGCAUGCCACGAUAGUCUCUUGCCCUUCCUGCACCUGAGACAUCCGAAUGAAUGGACACUCUCCUCUAAAACUUCCUGUUACAAGUAAACAUUGACAGGCUGCAAUUCACACGAGUCUAACAUGAGGUCAAAGGACACGCACAUGCACGUGUCGAAUAUGAGGUCAAAGGACACACACAUGCACUUGUCAGAACGAUGAUGCGUGAAUGUAACUCUCUGUUCACUUACUUCCCGUUUCUCUUAACGCCAACGUUUCAUUUCGUCGUCGUUGACAUCUGCAAGAUGACCAUGACGCAAAGAGGAAGCGUGGGAGUGUGUCACUGUUCCGUGACCGAGAUUAAAAGCCAUGCGAUGACCUCAAAAUGACCUUCAUACAGACUGGGACAUGUUCGUCAGGUCAGGACAUCCUCCACGUCUCGUUGGACCGACUGCUUCUUCCACUUGCUGUUCCCCUCGACGUGAUUUAGCCAAACAGGUGGAGUUUCUCCCAAAUGGCUGCUGCCGAACACUUCCUGGUGCACCUCCAACGACAUCUGACUGUGCCUCAUGCCAAUUAUCUCCAGUAAGCCUUCGGCCUGAUUCUGAAGUGUCUGGAUGGACUGGAACAGACACAAACAUUUUCAGAUGCCCGAUCUGACAAGUCCUUCAUCAAGUUCUCUGAUGGCAGAACACAAGGAGGCAGUCAGAGUGGCACCCACCACAAGUCGCCUUUCCGCUUUGAGGGUGCGCACGGCUGAGCGCAGGAUUUGCGGGGGUAACGUGCGUCGCUUCCGCGCCAUCUCCACGAUAGCGUCGUCCAUUCGCUUCUCCAGCUCAGGCAGCUCGUCCUCAUCUGGGAGAGAGGAGACAUUUUAGUGCGCCGGAUGGACGACGCUGCACCUGGCACUGGUCACCUUGGUCAAGUGGAGCCUGCUCCCACGUUUGUCCGUUCACCAACACAUUGGCAUGAACAGCAGCCUCAAAGUCCUGCACAGAAAAUAAGUCGCAUUCAAAACGAGAAUGAAAGGAGAAUUUAUCUUGUCAAAUAAAUACACAUCAUAAAUAA
This is a long non-coding RNA of Syngnathus acus (greater pipefish), 1153 nucleotides long. RefSeq lists it as uncharacterized. The transcript has 4 exons. The record is from RefSeq and is a predicted model, not a curated record. Lineage: Eukaryota; Metazoa; Chordata; Actinopteri; Syngnathiformes; Syngnathidae.